RNAcentral lists this ribosomal RNA (509 nucleotides) under uncultured bacterium. RNAcentral's name for it is "bacterial SSU rRNA". It matches the Rfam family "Bacterial small subunit ribosomal RNA", at positions 28 to 530 of the family's 1533-position model. The record is from RNAcentral.
GAUGAACGCUGGCGGCGUGCCUAAUACAUGCAAGUCGAACGAAGGUAGCAAUACCUUAGUGGCGAACGGGUGAGUAACACGUAGGUAACCUGCCUUUCAGUUGGGGAUAACCGAGGGAAACUUUGGCUAAUACCGAAUUCGUGCUUCGAAGGCAUCUUUGGAGCAUAAAAGGGGCCUUUAAAGCCUCGCUGAUUGAUGGACCUGCGGCGCAUUAGUUAGUUGGUGAGAUAACAGCCCACCAAGACGAGGAUGCGUAGCCGACCUGAGAGGGUGAUCGGCCACACUGGAACUGAGACACGGUCCAGACUCCUACGGGAGGCAGCAGUAGGGAGUUUUCGGCAAUGGGGGAAACCCUGACCGAGCAACGCCGCGUGAGUGAUGAAGGUCUUCGGAUUGUAAAGCUCUGUUAUAAGGGAAGAACGGCAGCUAGAGGAAAUGCUAGCUGUUUGACGGUACUUUAUGAGAAAGCCACGGCUAAACUACGUGCCAGCAGCCGCGGUAAAACGUAG